Molecule: transfer RNA, 75 nt
Filed under: Bacteroidales bacterium
Lineage: Bacteria; Pseudomonadati; Bacteroidota; Bacteroidia; Bacteroidales
Description: tRNA-Val
Rfam family: tRNA
About the family: Transfer RNA (tRNA) molecules are approximately 80 nucleotides in length. Their secondary structure includes four short double-helical elements and three loops (D, anti-codon, and T loops).
Source: RNAcentral
GAACUGUUAGCUCAGUUGGUUUAGAGCGCUACCUUGACAGGGUAGAGGUCGAGGGUUCGACUCCCUCACAGUUCA